GACGAACGCUGGCGGCGUGCUUAACACAUGCAAGUCGAACGGAAAGGCCCUGCUUUUGUGGGGUGCUCGAGUGGCGAACGGGUGAGUAACACGUGAGUAACCUGCCCUUGACUUUGGGAUAACUUCAGGAAACUGAGGCUAAUACCGGAUAGGAGCUCCUGCUGCAUGGUGGGGGUUGGAAAGUUUCGGCGGUUGGGGAUGGACUCGCGGCUUAUCAGCUUGUUGGUGGGGUAGUGGCUUACCAAGGCUUUGACGGGUAGCCGGCCUGAGAGGGUGACCGGCCACAUUGGGACUGAGAUACGGCCCAGACUCCUACGGGAGGCAGCAGUGGGGAAUAUUGCACAAUGGGCGGAAGCCUGAUGCAGCAACGCCGCGUGCGGGAUGACGGCCUUCGGGUUGUAAACCGCCUUCGCCUGUGACGAAGCGUGAGUGACGGUAAUGGGUAAAGAAGCACCGGCUAACUACGUG
RNAcentral lists this ribosomal RNA (468 nucleotides) under uncultured bacterium. RNAcentral describes it as "partial 16S ribosomal RNA". It matches the Rfam family "Bacterial small subunit ribosomal RNA", at positions 28 to 507 of the family's 1533-position model. The record is from RNAcentral.